GAAGCCCGAGUAAACGGCGGCCGUAACUAUAACGGUCCUAAGGUAGCGAAAUUCCUUGUCGGUUAAAUACCGACCUGCAUGAAUGGCGUAACGAGAUGGGAGCUGUCUCAACCAGAGAUUCAGUGAAAUUGUAGUGGAGGUGAAAAUUCCUCCUACCCGCGGCAAGACGGAAAGACCCCGUGGACCUUUACUACAACUUAGCACUGCUAAUGGGAAUAUCAUGCGCAGGAUAGGUGGGAGGCUUUGAAGUAAGGGCUUUGGCUCUUAUGGAGUCAA
Molecule: ribosomal RNA, 276 nt
Filed under: Helicobacter pylori
Lineage: Bacteria; Pseudomonadati; Campylobacterota; Epsilonproteobacteria; Campylobacterales; Helicobacteraceae
Description: partial 23S ribosomal RNA
Rfam family: Bacterial large subunit ribosomal RNA
Source: RNAcentral